RNAcentral lists this ribosomal RNA (899 nucleotides) under Laburnicola nematophila. RNAcentral's name for it is "partial large subunit ribosomal RNA". It matches the Rfam family "Eukaryotic large subunit ribosomal RNA", at positions 37 to 951 of the family's 3401-position model. Lineage: Eukaryota; Fungi; Ascomycota; Dothideomycetes; Pleosporales; Didymosphaeriaceae. The record is from RNAcentral.
AGCAUAUCAAUAAGCGGAGGAAAAGAAACCAACAGGGAUUGCCCUAGUAACGGCGAGUGAAGCGGCAACAGCUCAAAUUUGAAAUCUGGCCCUCUUUUGGGGGUCCGAGUUGUAAUUUGCAGAGGGUGCUUUGGCAUAGGCGGCGGUCUAAGUUCCUUGGAACAGGACAUCGCAGAGGGUGAGAAUCCCGUACGUGGGCGCCUGCCUUUGCCGUGUAAAGCCCCUUCGACGAGUCGAGUUGUUUGGGAAUGCAGCUCUAAAUGGGAGGUAAAUUUCUUCUAAAGCUAAAUACCGGCCAGAGACCGAUAGCGCACAAGUAGAGUGAUCGAAAGAUGAAAAGUACUUUGGAAAGAGAGUCAAACAGCACGUGAAAUUGUUGAAAGGGAAGCGCUUGCAGCCAGACUUGCCCGCAGUUGCUCACCCAGGCUUUUGCCCGGGGCACUCUUCUGCGGGCAGGCCAGCAUCAGUUUGGGCGGUUGGAUAAAGGCCUCUGUCACGUAUCUCCCUCCGGGGAGACCUUAUAGGGGAGGCGCAAUGCAACCAGCCCGGACUGAGGUCCGCGCAUCUGCUAGGAUGCUGGCGUAAUGGCUGUAAGCGGCCCGUCUUGAAACACGGACCAAGGAGUCUAACAUCUAUGCGAGUGUUUGGGUGUCAAGCCCGGGCGCGCAAUGAAAGUGAACGGAGGUGGGAACCCUUUCGGGUGCACCAUCGACCGAUCCUGAAGUCUUCGGAUGGAUUUGAGUAAGAGCAUAGCUGUUGGGACCCGAAAGAUGGUGAACUAUGCUUGAAUAGGGUGAAGCCAGAGGAAACUCUGGUGGAGGCUCGCAGCGGUUCUGACGUGCAAAUCGAUCGUCAAAUUUGGGCAUAGGGGCGAAAGACUAAUCGAACCAUCUAGUAGC